RNAcentral lists this ribosomal RNA (468 nucleotides) under uncultured bacterium. RNAcentral describes it as "partial 16S ribosomal RNA". It matches the Rfam family "Bacterial small subunit ribosomal RNA", at positions 28 to 507 of the family's 1533-position model. The record is from RNAcentral.
GACGAACGCUGGCGGCGUGCUUAACACAUGCAAGUCGAACGGAAAGGCCCUGCUUUUGUGGGGUGCUCGAGUGGCGAAGGGGUGAGUAACACGUGAGUAACCUGCCCUUGACUUUGGGAUAACUUAAGGAAACUGGGGCUCAUACCGGAUAGGAGCUCCUGCUGCAUGGUGGGGGUUGGUAAGUUUCGGCGGUUGGGGAUGGACUAGCGGCUUAUGGGCUUGGUGGGGGGGUAGUGGGUUACCAAGGCUUUGAAGGGUAGCCGACCUGGGAGGGGGACCGGCCACGUUGCGACGGGGCUACGGCCCAGACUCCUAUGCGACGCAGCGGUGGAGAAUGUUACACAAUAGGCGGAAGCCUGAUGCAGCCACGCCGCGUGCGGGAUGACGGCCUUCGGGUUGUAAACCACUUUCGCCUUAGACGAGGCGUUAGUGACGGUAACGGGUAAAGAAGCACCGGCUAACUACGUG